This 241-nucleotide unclassified non-coding RNA is filed under the name plant metagenome. RNAcentral's name for it is "partial contains small subunit ribosomal RNA, internal transcribed spacer 1, and 5.8S ribosomal RNA". The record is from RNAcentral.
UUUCCGUAGGUGAACCUGCGGAAGGAUCAUUCACAAUCAGUGCUUUAUGGCCAUUUUUAAACAUUCCAUAUCCACCUUGUGUGCAACGUUUUGCGACCCUCUAUCGUUAUCUUAUAGGUUACGGAAGGGGGAACUUCUACAAAUUACCAACUUCACCUUUAAUUUAUUUGUCUGCACAUUUAUUAUCACGAAUUAAUUUAAUGCGAAAAUACAACUUUCAACAACGGAUCUCUUGGCUCUC